UACAGAGGGUGCAAGCGUUAAUCGGAAUUACUGGGCGUAAAGCGCGCGUAGGUGGUUCGUUAAGUUGGAUGUGAAAUCCCCGGGCUCAACCUGGGAACUGCAUUCAAAACUGUCGAGCUAGAGUAUGGUAGAGGGUGGUGGAAUUUCCGGUGUAGCGGUGAAAUGCGUAGAUAUAGGAAGGAACACCAGUGGCGAAGGCGACCACCUGGACUGAUACUGACACUGAGGUGCGAAAGCGUGGGGAGCAAACAGG
This 253-nucleotide ribosomal RNA is filed under the name uncultured bacterium. Its description in RNAcentral is "partial 16S ribosomal RNA". It matches the Rfam family "Bacterial small subunit ribosomal RNA", at positions 524 to 776 of the family's 1533-position model. The record is from RNAcentral.